This 129-nucleotide small nucleolar RNA is filed under the name Cynoglossus semilaevis (tongue sole). Its description in RNAcentral is "Small nucleolar RNA SNORA27 (ENSCSEG00000016521.1)". The record is from RNAcentral. Lineage: Eukaryota; Metazoa; Chordata; Actinopteri; Pleuronectiformes; Cynoglossidae.
CACCCCAUCUUCACUUUGCCAUAAGGAUACCUGUGUCCUCUGUGGUCAUUCCUGUGGGGUAGAGUAUCACCUCCUUAAACACUCCAGUCUGACUAUUGUUGGACCUGGGGUUGUGUUGAGGAGACAGCA